AUACGGAGGGUGCAAGUGUUGUCCGGAUUUAUUGGGUUUAAAGGGUGCGUAGGUGGUUUAUUAAGUCAGUGGUGAAAUCCUGCAGCUUAACUGUGGAACUGCCAUUGAUACUGGUAAACUUGAGUACUGUUGAGGCAGGCGGAAUUUAUGGUGUAGCGGUGAAAUGCAUAGAUACCAUAAAGAACACCGAUAGCGAAGGCAGCUUGCUUAGCAGUUACUGACACUGAUGCACGAAAGCGUGGGUAGCGAACAGGAUUAGAAACCCUAGUAGUCC
This 274-nucleotide ribosomal RNA is filed under the name uncultured bacterium. RNAcentral's name for it is "partial 16S ribosomal RNA". It matches the Rfam family "Bacterial small subunit ribosomal RNA", at positions 523 to 796 of the family's 1533-position model. The record is from RNAcentral.